CGGCUUGUUUGCAAUGGUGGUGGCGGUCAGCGUGGAUCCAGGCUAGCACUCUGUGACGCCGGACCUCACCCGGUACCUACAGAUGAAAUGGCCCCUGCUAGAUGUUCAACAAGGAGGUCUCCAAAGUAGACAAGCACUUAAAGACGCCAGGUCCCCGUCACCGGCACACAUCGUUGGGCCCUUCUGCUGGGAAUUCCCCGGACAGUCAGAUCUGAGCCUUCACCAAUUUCAUUUGGUGAGAGACCUUUGAAUUCCAAAAAUAUCUUGUUGGAUUUUUUUGGCUGAUUCUACACGCAAAUUAACAAACUGAUAAUUGAUGAUUUUUAAACAAAAAUAACCUCCAUUCUGGUGAUGAUGAUGAUGAUGAUGAUUGUGUUGAUGAUAAUGCUGAUAAUAAUCAUGCUGUAAUGUGCUUUGUGCUAUGAUCCAGUGCUGCUGCUUUGUUGCUGGUGUGCUUCCUAAUGUCUGAAAUCAGGUGACGGGAUGUUUGUCGCGGAGGGAUGUUAUAUUUACAUUUGCAAGAGCUGACUUCAAAAUUGUGAACACCCGCUGGGGGAGUCAGGGUGUUUGCUUGCGUCCUCCUUGUGCGGCUGUUAACUCACUCCUUUGUGUGUCGGAUUUCUAUUUGCCUACUUGAUCUGCCAUGUGACCAACCGGCCUCUGUUUCUCUGGAUGGUCGGUCCGCGUGUCAUAAUGCCGACAUCAGACCAUGUGUGUUUGGAUCGAGUUAACCUGCAAAGUACAAAAGCAAAGCCAGUCUAGAUGUCUUCCAAGAGGACUUCAAACCGGGCUUCAAAAGGGGGCGGCCCGUGAUCGACUCGUUGCUGUUUGCACACUCUGCAGGGCGUUUGUGGCCGGUACAUAAGUCAAAACAGAAAAGAAGGAUAAAUCCCGCCCGAAACAUCUAUUUACCUGUUUAGGGUUUUUUUUUUGUCGAAGAGGAUAUGAAAGAAAAACAAGUAACAGCAACAAAAAAAAACACCCAAAUGCUUCUGUCAACACGCUGCCGGCUCUCCUUCUUUUAUACAAGCGCCUUUGCAAGAACUUGUUUGACGAGGUCUGGCACGAUCACUGCUGGGUGUGCCGGUCUUUCUGCGUGUGUGUGUCUGACAAGCACACCUUUGUCUCCGCCGGCCCGCGUGCCGCCGCCGUCACCGCCGCCGCCGCUGCUGCUGAGAGAGAGAGAGAGAGAGAGAGAGAGAGAGAGUAAUAAAACUUUCACAACGAUCCGGACACAGUCGGUUCCUGGGUUCAAGGUCCAGGAAGCGUUGUUGACAAAUAAUCCCAUUUUACGAUGGACCACUCCUAACGGGGCCGACGCGACCUCCGGGCCCAGCAGCGGGCCACGGGCGCUACUGUACUGACGCCGGGGGCCGUUUCACAGGGGAACUUGUUUUGACAGGACUCCAGGUGUCUCAUUGUUGGGCCUCGCAUGGUUCAACAGAUUUACCAAUUAGCACUGGGA
Pungitius pungitius (ninespine stickleback) is the source of this 1465-nucleotide long non-coding RNA. RefSeq lists it as uncharacterized. Lineage: Eukaryota; Metazoa; Chordata; Actinopteri; Perciformes; Gasterosteidae. The record is from RefSeq and is a predicted model, not a curated record. The transcript has 3 exons.